GAUGAACGCUGGCGGCGUGCCUAAUACAUGCAAGUCGAGCGAACGGACGAGAAGCUUGCUUCUCUGAUGUUAGCGGCGGACGGGUGAGUAACACGUGGAUAACCUACCUAUAAGACUGGGAUAACUUCGGGAAACCGGAGCUAAUACCGGAUAAUAUUUUGAACAGCAUGGUUAAAAAGUGAAAGACGGUCUUGCUGUCACUUAUAGAUGGAUCCGCGCUGCAUUAGCUAGUUGGUAAGGUAACGGCUUACCAAGGCAACGAUGGAUAGCCGACCUGAGAGGGUGAUCGGCCACACUGGAACUGAGACACGGUCCAGACUCCUACGGGAGGCAGCAGUAGGGAAUCUUCCGCAACGGGCGAAAGCCUGACGGAGCAACGCCGCGUGAGUGAUGAAGGUCUUCGGAUCGUAAAACUCUGUUAUUAGGGAAGAACAUCUGUGUAAGUAACUGUGCACAUCUUGACGGUACCUAAGCAGAAAGCCACGGCUAACUACGUG
This 497-nucleotide ribosomal RNA is filed under the name uncultured bacterium. Its description in RNAcentral is "partial 16S ribosomal RNA". It matches the Rfam family "Bacterial small subunit ribosomal RNA", at positions 28 to 507 of the family's 1533-position model. The record is from RNAcentral.